CCAAGCCACUCUAUCACUCCCCUUCCCAGCUGGACAGGGAAGAGAGAAUAAGAUGGAAAACAACUCGUAGGUUGAGAUAAGGCAGUUUACUAAAGCAAAAGCGAAAGUUUGUGCAUGCACAAGCAAAG
Neopelma chrysocephalum (saffron-crested tyrant-manakin) is the source of this 128-nucleotide long non-coding RNA. RefSeq lists it as uncharacterized. NCBI's taxonomy places the organism in Eukaryota, Metazoa, Chordata, Aves, Passeriformes, Pipridae. The record is from RefSeq and is a predicted model, not a curated record. The transcript has 2 exons.